CCCGGCGACCGGCGCACGGGUGAGUAACACGUAUGCAACCUGGCCGUGACAGAUGGAUAACCGGGAGAAAUCCCGCCUAAUACAACAUGAUGCCGGGAGGGGACAUCCCCUGCCGGCCAAAGGGGGCGACCCCGGUCACGGAUGGGCAUGCGGCGCAUUAGGUAGUUGGUGGGGCAACGGCCCACCAAGCCGACGAUGCGUAGGGGUUCUGAGAGGAAGGUCCCCCACAUUGGAACUGAGACACGGUCCAAACUCCUACGGAAGGCAGCAG
This 271-nucleotide ribosomal RNA is filed under the name uncultured bacterium. Its description in RNAcentral is "partial 16S ribosomal RNA". It matches the Rfam family "Bacterial small subunit ribosomal RNA", at positions 87 to 354 of the family's 1533-position model. The record is from RNAcentral.